GCAUUGGUCUUUUUGUGAUGCGACUUCAACGAGUCCGGUUGUUUGGGAAUGCAGCCUUAAUUGGGUGGUAAAUCUCACCUAAAGCUAAAUAUUGGCGAGAGACCAAUAGCGAACAAGUACCGUGAGGGAAAGAUGAAAAGUACUCUGAAGAGAGAGUUAAAAGUGACGUGAAAUUGCUAAAAGCGAAACCGUUUGGAGCCAAGUCGGGUAAAAACCCUAGGCAAGGGUUGUAGGCCAUGAAAGUGGUUUACAACUUGAACCCUUUAACUUUGGUUAUUGGGGGGGCCCGUCGAAGGAUAGGUUACCUUCCAACAACAGUUUGUUCUGCAGGAAAAAGGUGCCAUUUCGAUAGAGAAUGUAGCUUAUCCGGAAAGUGUUAUAGCUCUUCACUGUACUGUGGUUCAGACUGAGGUCUGCAGCGAAUGCUUGAUUUUGGCUUUGGGAUUAGAUCGCUCAGUGCUUUUGCUGUGGUCACUAUGAUAUGGUGUGCUGCAAGUGAGGUCUGACUCGGUCUAUUUCACUUUUAAUUCGCUUUGGUUGUUGGCUUAAUGGCUUUAAACGACCCGUCUUGAGACACGGACCAAGGAGUCCACCAUAGGUGCGAGUAUUUGGGUGCCAAACCCAUAUGCGCAAUGAAAGUGAUGUUGGGUAUGAAUCCUUUUUUUGGAGAGGCAAUGCUGUCCGGCGUAGACGUUUUUAUACAGACAUACCUGAGACAAAGCACUUAUGAUGGGACCCGAAAGAUGGUGAACUAUGCCUGAAUAGGGCGAAGCCCACAGUUUAACUUGGGUGGAGGCCCGUAGCGAUUCUGACGUGCAAAUCGAUCGUCAAAUUUGGGUAUAACGGCGAAAGACUAAUCGAACCAUCUCAUAGCUGGUUCCUGCCGAAGUUUCCCUCAGGAUAGCAGAAACUCAAACAGGCAGUUUUAUGGGGUAUAGCACAGGAGCAGAACUAGUUGCAAACCAAACGGAUUGUAGCCUGCGUCCUUAGCUUGGAAUAUGUAAGAUGACCCGCUUCUUUCUCAAGUGAAGACGGUCUCGAAUGCCGAGUUUCUAGUGGGCCAUUUUUGGUAAACAGAAAUGGCGAUGCGGGAUGAACCGAACGCAGAGUUAAGGUGCCGGAAUAUACGCUCAUAGAUACCACGAAAGGCGUUAGUUCGUCUAGACAGUAGGACGGUAGCCAUGGAAGUCGGAAACCGCUAAGGAGUGUGUAGCAACUCACCUGCCGAAUGGACUAGCCCUGAAAAUGGAUGGCGCUGAAGCGUAUUGCCCAUACUCUGCCAUCAUGGUAAAAAGUGAUGCCAUGAUGAGUAGGCAGGCGUGGAGGUUUAUGCAAAUUGUUAAGAAGCCGCAGGUGUGAACCUGGGUGAAACAGCCUCUAGUGCAGAUCUUGGUGGUAGUAGCAAAUAUUCAAAUGGGAACUUUGAAGACUGAAGUGGAGAAAGGUUCCUAAGCAACUGCAUUUGGCUUAGCGUUAGUCGAUCCUAAGAGAUAGGGAAGUUCCCUUUUACCAAAUAGCCAAUUUUGUUUUGGCUUACCUAUCGAAGGGGAAACUGGUUAACAUUCCAGUACCUGAAUGCGGAUUUUCUGCCGCAACGCAACUGAAUUUGGGGACAUCGGCACGGAUCCUGUGAAGAGUUUUCUUUUCUUUUUAACAGUUGUGUUUUGACCAUGAAAUCAGUUUAGCUGGAGAAAUGGUUGAACGGCUGGAAGAGUACCAUCCGAACUGGUUGUAUCCGGUGCAUCCGUGACGAUCCUUGAAAACCCAAAGGAAAGAAUAAUUUUCGCCUCAGGUCGCACUCAUAACCGCAGCAGGUCUCCAAGGUGAAAAGCCUCUAGUUGAUGGAACAAGGUAGAUAAGGGAAGUAAGCAAAUUCGAUCUGUAACUUCGGAAGAAAAAUUGGCUGUAAUGGUUGGAGCAAGUCUUGCGACUUGGGGAGAACCGAGGGAAAAGAAGGUAUGUAUUCUUAUUGCGUAGACCACCGUCUGGUGGGGUCUAUGAAUCAGUUGGCUUGGAACUCGACUCCCUGAAGAAACUGGGCUUGCUGCUUAUCAACAACCGAAUUAGAACUGGUACUGACAAGGGGAAUCCGACUGUUUAAUGAAAACAUAGCAUUGCGAUAUCCAGAAAGUGGUAUUGACGCAAUGUGAUUUCUGCCCAGUGCUCUGAACGUCAAAGUGAAGAAAUUCAAUCAAGCGCGAGUAAACGGCGGGAGUAACUAUGACUCUCUUAAGGUAGCCAAAGGGGCAUCAUCUUGGCCAUUUGGUGUACUUUGGAUUAACGAGAUUCCUACUGUCCCUAUCUACUAUCCAGCGAAACCACAGCCAAGGGAACGGGCUUGGCGUAAUCAGCGGGGAAAGAAGACCCUGUUGAGCUUGACUCUAGUUUGACACUGCAGUACAGCGUAGGGAAUGUAGAAUAAGUGGGAGCCUAGGGUGCCUCGAGGGGUGUCCGCGAUCGUGAAAUACCACUGCUUCUAUUGCAUUACUGCUCGGAUAAUCAGGUAGGGCCCGAACUGAGCUUUUGAUUUGCUCAGCUUCUUGUGUUGAAGUGCACAUUCGUUGUACGACCUAUGUUAUCGACACUGUCAGAUGGGGAGUUUUGGCUGGGACGGCUCUCCUGUGAAACAGCCAAACAGGUGACCUAAGGGAGACUCAGGCGUGGACAGGAACCUCGCGUAGAGCUGAAGGGUAAAUGUCUCCUUGAUUUUUAUUUUCAGUGUGAAUACAAACCAUGAGAGUGUGGCCUAUCGAUCCUUUAGACUCCAAAAGAUUUUUGGAUAGAGGUGUCAGAAAAGUUACCACAGGGAUAAUAACUGGCUUGUGGCAGCCUAGCAGAUUUUUCAGCGAAGUUGCUUUUUCUGUUGUUGUUCUUGAUGUCGGCUCUUCCUAUCAUACCGAAGCAGCACUCGGUAAGCGUUGGAUUGUUCACCCACUAACAGGGAACGUGAGCUGGAUUUAGACCAUCGUGAGACAGGUUAGUAUUACCCUACUGAUGGUACGCAGUAUCGCAACAGUAAUUGAAGUCAGUACGAGAGGAACCCUUUAUUCAGAUAAUUGGUAUUUGCGGUUGGUCGACCGGCCAACGCCGCGAAGCUAUCAUCUGCUGGAUAAUGGCUGAACGCCUCUAAGCCAGAAUCCAAGCUGGAAGCGAUGCUGGCUUGUUACGCUUUUUGUACGAGAAGGUACAAAUAGGUCUUUUGACCGUAAACCGUAUUUUUGGGCUUGUGGCAGUAUUGCGGAAAGGCAAUACGGUGACAGCCUUAUGAUAAUGUUACUACAAAAGUGGGACAAAUC
RNAcentral lists this ribosomal RNA (3296 nucleotides) under Apophysomyces trapeziformis B9324. Its description in RNAcentral is "eukaryotic LSU rRNA". It matches the Rfam family "Eukaryotic large subunit ribosomal RNA". The record is from RNAcentral. Lineage: Eukaryota; Fungi; Mucoromycota; Mucoromycetes; Mucorales; Mucoraceae.